Molecule: ribosomal RNA, 409 nt
Filed under: uncultured bacterium
Lineage: Bacteria
Description: bacterial SSU rRNA
Rfam family: Bacterial small subunit ribosomal RNA
Source: RNAcentral
UGGGGAAUAUUGGGCAAUGGAGGAAACUCUGACCCAGCGACGCCGCGUGCGGGAUGAAGGCCUUCGGGUUGUAAACCGCUUUCAGCAAGGAAGAAGCGAAAGUGACGGUACUUGCAGAAGAAGCACCGGCUAACUAUGUGCCAGCAGCUGCGGUAAUACGGAGGGUGCAAGCAUUAAUCGGAUUUAUUGGGCGUAAAGGGCGCGUAGGCGGUAAGGAAAGUCAGAUGUGAAAUUCCGGGGCUCAACCUCGGAGCAGCAUCUGAAACUUCCCUACUUGAGGUAAAGCGGGGAAAACGGAAUUCCACAUGUAGCGGUGAAAUGCGUAGAUAUGUGGAAGAACACCGGUGGCGAAGGCGGUUUUCUAGCUUUUACCUGACGCUGAGGCGCGAAAGCGUGGGGAGCAAACAGG